Molecule: non-coding RNA, 2879 nt
Organism: Sus scrofa (pig)
Lineage: Eukaryota; Metazoa; Chordata; Mammalia; Artiodactyla; Suidae
Source: RefSeq, a predicted model, not a curated record
UGAGCCACCAGGGAACUCCCCAAAUGAAAGAGUUUUCAAUCCUACAAUUCCUCAAUGAUUAAGCUUGGUAAUACUUACUGAAUCUUAUCAAAUGCCCCAAGAGUGUUAAGCACUCUUCCUUCUACCCGCUCUUUCACGCUCCAAGGUAGGCGGCGUGCACAGCACCACGACCUGUCCUACUGGAACAUUCUUUGGUCGAGCCCGACGCCCGUUACUGCCGAGCCCCGCCCAAACCACGCCCCCAUGCUGGCCGUCGGGCCCGGGGACAGUGUCCGUUGUCGGCGGGACAAUCCAGACUGUCCCCUCUCGUGAGAAUCUAAGGAUUCCAACUGGCUUGAAGAGUGUGUCCCCCGGUCCCUAGGAGCCGGCGAACGCCGGGCCCCGCCCCCUCGAUACGCAGGCUCAGUGCGAGCUCGCCACGCUCGCACCCGUCGGACGCUACAUGUCGCUGGCGGGGUCGCGGCGGAGGGAGGCCGGGCGGCUGCUGCCAGAGAGGACCGUGUCUGCAACUGGAGCCAAGAAAGUGAAGAUGGCCACCAAAUCAUGCCCGGAAUGCGACCAACAGGUUCCUGUUGCAUGUAAAUCUUGUCCCUGUGGUUAUGUAUUUAUUAAGAGGAAACCUCUAAAAAUAAAACACUCAGAGAAGUCAUCACCUUUUACAGAUGAGAAGUUUCUUCUAAGGAUGCGCAAAGAAAGUGGUUUCUGGAGAUGGAAUGUGUUCCUUCCUGGUCAAAAUGCUAUGAAGAUUGUUGAAAUGACAACAAGUAAUUUAGAAUAUUAUAUAAACUUAGUUAAGCGGAGGCAGAGUUUGAAAGGAUUGAAUCCAGUUUUGGAAAGAAGUUCUACUAUGAGUAAAAUGUUAUCAAACAACAUUGCAUGCUACAGAGAAAUUGUUCAUAAAGGAAGAGUCAACUGAUGUAGCAAACUUCUUUUUUGGCCUAUUUUAAAAAAUUGCCACAGCCACCCCAACCCUCAGCAACCACCACCCUGUUCAGUCAGCAGCCAUCAACAUCAACAGGCAAGACCUUCCACCAGCAAACAGAGAAUGACUGAAGGCUCAGAGGAUGGUUAGCAUUUUUUAGCAAUAAAGUAUUUUUUAAUUAAGGUGUAUACAUUUUUUUAUCCAUAAUACUAUUUAUUGCACACUUAAUAAGCUGCAGUGUAAUAUAAACAUAACUUUGUAAACAUGUACUGAGAAACCCAAAAACUCUUGUGAUUUGUUUUCUUGCAAUAUUCAUUAAUGCUGUGGUCUGGAACCAAACCAAUAUUUCUGAGGUAUGCCUGUAUACAAACUGUAAAUAUAAAAUUAUUUUACAGAAAAGCUCAUCUAUAACAGCAAAAUGGAAGAUUAAACACUUAGGAAUAAAUUUAAUAAGGUACAAAGCCUAUACAAGGAAAUUUUAAAAUACCCUUGAAAGGUACUAAAGUGGAUUUAAACAAAUGGUAAAACAUGAAGUUGUCAGUCUUCUCUAAGCCAAUUCAUAAAACCAGUGCAACCCUAAUAAAAAUUCUAACAAGUUAUUUUACUGAGUUAGACAAACUGAUUUUAAAGUUCACAUGGAAAAACAAAUGUGCAAAAAAUAGCCAGAAAAAUUGUCAAUUGACUUAAAAUAGGGUCCUUAAGGAAAUUAAAUGGUAAAGAAAGUCUUUUCAACGAAUAAUGUUAGUAUAUCCUGUUGGAUAUCUACAUGUGGAAGAAUGAAGUUGUGUCUCUAUUUCACAAUAUAUACAAAAAUAAAUUCAAAGAAGAUCACAAGCCUAAAUAUAAGAGCUAAUCAAACUGUACAGUUCUUCAAGAAAAACAUAGAAGUUUUUGUGACCUUAGGCCUUGAAUUCUUAAAUAUGACCCCAAAAGCGCAAGUGACAAAACAAAAAAUAAAUUGGACUAUCGGAAAAUUCAGAACUUUUUUUUUCUUUUUGCUGCAAAUGAUAUCAUCAAAAGUGAAAAGACAACUCACGGAAUGGGAAAAACUAUGUGCAAAACACAUUUCCGAUGAAGGACUUGUUUCCAGAUAUAAAGAAGUAAAAUAGUAAAAAGAGAAAUAACCUGAUUUAAAAAAUGGGUAUAUUGGAGUUCCCACUGUGUCGCAAGGGAGAUUGGUGGCGUCUUGGGAAUGGUGGGAUGCAGGUUCCAUCCCCAGCCCGGCACAGUGAGUUAGGAUCCCUGUUGCCACAGAUUUGGGCAGGUCACAACUGCAGUUCGGGUCUGAUCCCCAGCCCAGGAACUCCAUAUGCUGAGGGGCAGCCAAAAAAAAAAAAAAAAAAAAAAAAAAGAAAAAGAAAAGAAAAAAAAUAAAAGGUAUAGUUGAAGACUAUUGUGAUGGGGCUUUUUCUGUAAACCUGCAUUGUUGGAAACACCUCAGAGUAACAAAGAGCUACAUGUUAGGUCUGUGGGAAAGAACUACAAAAAAAAAAAAAAAAGAACUGCUGAGUAAACUAUGGAAAACCUAACAGUCAAAUCUUUUUUUUAAAUCUUAGGUAUUGGCAUAUUCCCAAGGAUCUGUACUGUUCUAGGGUGUGAUAGAUUAGGAGUGAAUAUGAUUUGAACUUAAUGCAUGUUUAGAAGAUGUCUAAAAUUCAGAACCAGGCGGAUCCAUCUCUUCUGACCCUAAAGGUAAUCUUAUGUAAAGCGAACUGCUUGAGUAAAUUGGGUCCCAAAGGUAGGAAAGUUUGAAGUGUGUCCAUAUUCCGUUUGAGAUCAAAGAAGGCUGACUAAAAGAACUGUGGGCUACUUUUGAAGAUAACGACUCAAAAGUUGGAAUGACUCAAAAACACUGGAGAAAGCAGUGGAAAGAGAAUACUUAAAAGUUUAUUGACUUGGAGUUCCUGUCGAGGUGCAGCGGAAACGAAUCCGACUAGGAACCAUGAGGUUGCGGGUU